RNAcentral lists this long non-coding RNA (4996 nucleotides) under Homo sapiens (human). Its description in RNAcentral is "HSALNT0357823". Lineage: Eukaryota; Metazoa; Chordata; Mammalia; Primates; Hominidae. The record is from RNAcentral.
GUGUGUGUGUGUGUGUAUGUGUAUGUGUGUGUGUGUGUCAAGGGAAGAGCAAAAAUGAGAGAGAAGGCUCUGGUUGAGUGUCCAGAAAACCUAAAAGGAUAAUGGAGCCCCUCCCCACCGCCCCAGGCUGGUUGAAUUUCCCUGAUGCUGCAGUGUGUCCCCACCUCCAUCACCAGACUCUGUCCCUCUGGGGAAGGUCAUUCUGGGUGUGGCGUAGGAAGCACGGCUGCCUGCAAGACUGAGGGCAAUGAUACAGGCCACAUAGACUUUACUUUCAGUUGAAGUGAAAACAGAAACUUUUGAGGUUUAAAAAAUAACACUAGACUUCAUUACAUUUUUGUUCCUUCCUUGCCCCCAAAUACCACCAUAAUCAGAGCAUAAUGGAUAUCCCGUCUGGAAAUAUUCCUAGCCCAGACAGUACGAUGAAGAGCUCUCAGGCCAGACUGGGAGAGAGGCAUUAUUUUUAGGGUCAGUUAUCUCAGGAAAAGCACCAAGAGCCAAGAGGUCCUUGGCAGCAUUGCCCACCACAAUUAAGAAAACCAAUAUUCCAUUUAGCAGAAGGUCUUAGAACAUGGCUCACGCCAGUAGAGCAGUUUAUACUUUUCAAAGUGUUUUUUAAAUUAUACUUUCCUUUCUGAGUGGUUUUAUUUAUCUAACAGAUAGUCCUCUUUAAUUACGUACUCAAAAGACUUUUCCUCCCACUGAAUACAACUGCGUUUUCCAACAAUACAGCAUUGUGAUUUCUUAGAAACACUGUUUUCAGGUUUUCUGAGUCUCCCUUGUCUUUUCUGUGGUUUUUAAUAAUUUAUCCCUCCAGCCUGCUUUCUCUUGAUCUGUGGAUACAAGCUGGCCUUUCUGCUUUCCUGCCAUGCCAGUAAGAACCUAUCACAAGAUCUCACCUCUCUCUGGGUCCUCUGACUCUUGCAUUUUAGAAAUCCUCAUGUGUCUUCAUUUUCCUCCAGGUUUAGGCCACCUACCUCCAAAUCCCUCUCUUAAAGUCAUAUUCAUCUCCUGGGGAAGACCCUUCUCUCUUUCCCACGAACAUUAUGUUGAAUCUACUACAACUUUAAGUAAAAAUGUUUCACACGAUGACCUUCUGAAUAUCAGAUUUUAAAAAUGUCAUGCAACCUUUUAAAGAUCUUUAACUCUUUUUCAGAAGAAUUUCUCUGAGAAUUCUGACUUCUGUUUUCACAACUGCAUUUUGACAUCCUCAGCUCAGCUCUGUUGUACCAGUUACUUCCCCUGCAUUCCAAACCAGUUCUUUCUAUUUUCAAAAAUCCAUUCUCACUCCCAGUACUCUCUGGGCUCGUGAGCUUUUUAUCCCAGGGAAGUGAAAUCUGAGGCCUGUGCCUGGAGUGCUGCUCAGCUCCUGAACAUGGAGAGCCCAAGCGUUUAACUAGAAAGCAGCUGUGUCAUCGCAGAGCUUAUUGCCUUUCUUCCUGAAACUGCAGCAUGGGAUUCUCCAAGGCUCAACGUGCCCUCAGCCUCAGCAAGACCCUCCUCUCAUCAGCAGGAGACAAACACAAACAUGCCAGCAAGCAAGACCAGGUGCUACUUGAUCACUCCCGCAAUGAUGGCUAAAGCCUUCCAGUUCUGCACAUUUGCUUUCCUCUCUGCAAUCUUUAUUUGGGCCCCAUGAUUUCUUUAAAGAGAAAAUAAGCAUACAGAAACAGUAAUGCAUGAAAUAAUACGAUGUCUGGGAUGUUGCUUCAGAAUUAUUCAGUGCAUAGGGGGGAAGUGGGAAGUCAUAAGGAGAGAAAAUUGGCCAUGAGUUGAAAAUUGUUGAAGUCAAGUGAUGGAUAGAUACAUGGGGAUUCAUCACAUUAUUUUACUACUUAUGUGUAUGUUUGAGAAUUUCCACAAUGAUUUUUUUUUCAAAAAGAUAAUGGGUGAAGUGCUCAGAGGGGAUAGUCAAAAACAUCAUUUCCCUCACCGAGGACCUCAGCCAGAGCUGCCCUUAACAGAGCUGUCACUGAGUUACUGGCCUCAGUCAGCAUCUUGUCCUCUGCUGGGGCAGAGCUGCUUCAUGCUAGGGUGGGUGACGGCAGGUCUGGCACCUGGUCAGGGAAGGAGCUGAUGGCAGACCCCAGGCACCCUGCCCACAUAAGUGCCCUGCCUCUGAAGUCUCCAAGGCGCCCAAUGGUGGGCACUGCUGGUUUCAUUGGAGGUCUCAUAGGGCAGCCUUUAGGGGACCCCCAAGAAAGGUGUGAGGCAAACUUCUAAUGUUUCCCUGUCCUUGCCAGGGCAGAUGUAGAAUUCCUACAGAAAGCUUUUGCUUUUUUUAGCAAUUCCAGCGGAUCAUCCUCACGCUUCUGGUGCCCUCUCAUCCCAUUCUGUUAAUUCUUACACAGCCCUGACUUCCCUGCAUGGGCCAUUUCAGUUUGCUAAUACCUGGCUUUGAAAACAGCAACUGGAAGCUUGCUCAGCUAUCUCCUAAAGCCAUGGAAUUGUGGGGAACACAGGGCUCUGCCCUCCUCCGUGUGAAUCCUGUUCUUCUAUAAGUCCCCCAAUCUUUGCUGGCAGGCUGGUGAGUGGGUCCCCCUCCUCUGAUGGGGCCUGCCUGGCCCACUGCCUGGGAUAGCUGUCCAUAUGUAUACAGUUGAUCCCAGGAGGAAAGUGGGCUGAAAUCCAGCUUAUGCUCUAUGUACACAGGUCGGGGGCUGCCCAGAGAGGCUCCCACCCCUUUAAGGGCUGGAAGUCACCUUGUACUCUCAACCCCAUUCCUCUGGUUCUUAUUUUUCUCCACUCUCUGUGGAAUCCCACAGAGCCAUCUGAAUGCCAGACUUCCCACCCCCAGGUGCUGUCUCUUCUCAGAGCCAGGCCUGCCCUGGGUGGCCCUCUUUUCUCACCUGUCCCAGCCUCACUUGAACAGAAUUUUCUGUGUGUUAUCGCUGUUCACUACUCCAGCUACAGCUACUGCAGCCCCCACUAUCUCCCACCUGAAUCACACUACAGCCCCCUGUCACCCACAGUUUGGCUCCCCACCAGGGGCCCUCACCUGUAAUCUCACCUAUAGGAGCAGAUGCCAUGACUCUGUUUAACCUCUCACCUACAGGUAAACAUGAGUGUCUAGGCUGGCCUGUGGUACCCCCUGACCUGGCUUUUACCCACUGCCUUGGCCCCUUUCUUACCACCUGUUAUGUCUCUGGCCUUCUCCCUGCCCGAGAGCUCUCCUCUGCACAGGCUUUGACCUUCCUCCUCCCAGACUCAGCUCUAGGCGUCACCUCCUCCAUGGCCCCUUCCUAACCAGCUUCCAGCCCCCUGACUCCUAUGCACAUUUUCUGAUUGCUAAUGCUUUUAUAUAAACAGAUGAUGACACACAUUGCAUUUUAGAAUAUUUUCAAUUUUCAUAAAAGUUACAAAGAUAGUAGAGAGUUUUCAUCUACCCUUCACCUGUUUUCCUAUAAAGUUAUUAACAUCCCACAUUGCCAUGGUGUACCUGUCAAAACUAAGAAACCAACAUUGCUUGUUGAUGUCUUUUCAGCUGUUUUUAAACAAGGAAGUCUGGAAUUGAGUACGUAAGCAGAGCUGAAUCCACGGCUGUGAAGAGGGGAGCUGGCCACCCUGUGCAGUCUGGAUUCUCCAGGCAGAUGGUGGACAUGAGAAAGUGGCCUGCACCCUGAGUUGCCCUUUGGUGGCCUCAAGGGAGUCCAAGUUCCCAACCUCUGUCCAACAAGCUGACACUCACAGCCUUCUAGAGAUAGUGGGUGAUGUCACAAUUUGCUCCCACAGGGGACUGUGAUGGGGUCAGGGGGAGAAGAAGAAGAAAUAACAUCUAUCAAAUCAGCCCUGCCUCAAAGUUCAGCUCACCCACCAGGAAUAAAACAUUUUCUACUGAAAAUGAAGAUAGUUUCUGAGUGUCCAGAUCAAAGACAGAAACAUAAUCUGUUGCAAAAUUUCUGCUCUUCUUGAGUUGCUGAAAGUAGUUCUUCCUGGUGCUAAAAGACUGCAGCUCCUUGAGAGAAGAGAAUAUGUCAGUUUUGUUCUCUGCUGUAACCUCAAUGCUGAGAGCAGGGUACAGAAUUCAGCUUCCACAUUUUUAUAACAAGGCUAUAAUACCUGUCUGAUGCAGCUAUUACAAAAUCUGAAGGAUAUAGCAACAAGGUACCAUCUUAGAAGCAGAUGCCAGACACAGCCCUCAGCAGGCACCAGAUCUACUGGCACCUUGAUUUUGAACUUCCCAGCCUCCAGAACUGAGCAAAUAAAUUUCUAUUAUUUGUAAAUCACUCAGUCUGUGGUAUUUUGUUAUAGCAGCAUAAAUGGACAAAACCAGAUAUGUAUAUAUACACUUGCCAGGACUAAUUUAUAAAGCCAAUUUAGAAGGAGAUUCUGGGCCACUGGACAGUCUGGGACAAUAUACAUGGAAAUAACUAACUCUUGAAUCACUGCACAUUUUGUGAUUCUGGAAGAUGUACAAGUAUAGGAGGUGUAAGUUGAGAGCAGUGAUCACCUUGAAAACAAAAUUAAAAAUUCAUUCUUGCAGUUGCAUUGACUAAUAUGCAAAAAUGUUGUUUAUUAGUACCAAAUACUAAUAUGAUAAAAAUGUUGAGGUCACUAACAGAAUAGAAUGCAAGGGACAUUAAUAUUUUGGGGAUGAAAACUUUCAUUUCAUGAAGUGACAGGACAUGAGGAACCUAAGCUCAAGGACAUUGCAUGACAGUGAAAGGUUUCAAAGCUGGUCGGUGGAUAACAGGGUAGGACCUAGAACCUCAAGUUCCUGAGCCCAGGCCACAGCCUCCACAUGGGCCUCUUCCUCUAAGAAAUUACUGGAAUCUUCCUGCUUGGUUGGCUCCUGUGGCCUUGCUUUCACCCAAGGUGCCAUGUGAUAUUCAUUAUUUGUGAGGAAAGAUACAUAAGAUUUCAGUGAUAUAAAUCCCAUCCACUUAAGGGAUGAGACAGAGGGUCCAGGUGGAAAAGGCUCUAGGCACUGAGUUGAACCUUGCGGGAGUCUGGCUCUGUGAGACCCAGGAGUUCCCAUUCCCUGGAGCCGAGUGGA